GGUUGGAACAGUGCAAUGUUUCCUCUCUUGGAUUGCAGUGACCAGACAUGCUACUGUAACUCUCAUGGUCAUGUGCUGGAAUUAGCAGAUGUUCAACUAUUUGGCCAUCUCACUGACCUGUUGAUAUCAGAAGACCACAACAGCUCUGCAAUGCAAGUUGCAAAACAGAAUCCAUGAAACUGGCAGUGACCGGAAACCAAUUGGAAGACUUUGGUUUAUGAUGUAGAGAAGUGGGCAGACGCAGAAGCAAAGACAACAAAAAACAGAAGUGAUAUGGAUGUCUUCGCCUUAUAGCAUGACACUGUCGAUCUAACAACAAUGAGAAGGGCGUUCAACAUUAUCCUGCUAGUAAGGACUCUUCAAGAGAACAGAGGAUUCUUGUGGCAGAGAUGGCCAACCAUUAUAAAUACCAAAUACCUUUCAACUCAUCCUGGUUCCUUCAGAGAACUGUCCUGCGUGUGUGCUACUGAAAAAUACGACAUGUGGCCUAAACAAAGAGGGGUUAAAAGGUCUGUGGAUCAUCAUUCUCAGAAAGCAACAAAAUAACUGAGAAAAAAAAAAACUACGACACGAGGGUGCAAGCUAGAGACCUGCAAGGUACCUGCAUGUUUUGGCCGGAGCAGAGAACAUACAUUUUUUAAAUAAAGCUCCAACUGAUGAAUAUGACAUUGACUACAGAUUUUCUUUUACUGUAAAGAAAGAAGACGAUGACCUUAACACUGAAUC
Danio aesculapii is the source of this 726-nucleotide long non-coding RNA. RefSeq lists it as uncharacterized. The transcript is spliced from 5 exons. The record is from RefSeq and is a predicted model, not a curated record. Lineage: Eukaryota; Metazoa; Chordata; Actinopteri; Cypriniformes; Danionidae.